RNAcentral lists this long non-coding RNA (488 nucleotides) under Nicotiana benthamiana. Its description in RNAcentral is "long non-coding RNA (NBEN_LNC039969)". Lineage: Eukaryota; Viridiplantae; Streptophyta; Magnoliopsida; Solanales; Solanaceae. The record is from RNAcentral.
CCAUAUUCUGCAAGCUUUAGGUAUUCGAAAUCUUUGUCAAUGUUUUGGAAACAUUUGAACUCCAGAAUACAUCACUGCCAAACCUCAUCUUACUGUGUGUCUUGGGGCUCCAUCAUCUUCAUUCUUGCAGUAUUUUAUUAGUCUAUAUUUUUUGUUGAAUUUCCUUUGAAGACAUCACUGCCAAACCUCAUCUUACCGUGUGUCUUGGGGCUCCAUCAUCUUCAUUCUUGCAGUAAUUUAUUAGUCUCUAUUUUUUUGUUAUAUUUCCUUUGAAGUCAGCUAAUAUGUACAGUGGAAGAGCUAGGUGGAAAAUCCAAAAGUAAAAUGGACGUAUCUUGAAAGUGUGUGGUUUAGGCAGUUAAAGUUGCAGUUGCUGCUAUUAAUUACCAUAAAUAUAAAAUUCUAGAUAUUUUACACGUUUCCUUCUUGAUCAACAUGAUUUCUUUUCUCUCUUUUCUUUUCACCUUCUAAAUUUAGUUGCAGGUGAC